RNAcentral lists this ribosomal RNA (466 nucleotides) under uncultured bacterium. RNAcentral describes it as "partial 16S ribosomal RNA". It matches the Rfam family "Bacterial small subunit ribosomal RNA", at positions 28 to 507 of the family's 1533-position model. The record is from RNAcentral.
GACGAACGCUGGCGGCGUGCUUAACACAUGCAAGUCGAACGGAAAGGCCCUGCUUUUGUGGGUGCUCGAGUGGCGAACGGGUGAGUAACACGUGAGUAACCUGCCCUUGACUUUGGGAUAACUUCAGGGAACUGGGGCUAAUACCGGAUAGGAGCUCCUGCUGCAUGGUGGGGUUGGAAAGUUUCGGCGGUUGGGGAUGGACUCGCGGCUUAUCAGCUUGUUGGUGGGGUAGUGGCUUACCAAGGCUUUGACGGGUAGCCGGCCUGAGAGGGUGACCGGCCACAUUGGGACUGAGAUACGGCCCAGACUCCUACGGGAGGCAGCAGUGGGGAAUAUUGCACAAUGGGCGGAAGCCUGAUGCAGCAACGCCGCGUGCGGGAUGACGGCCUUCGGGUUGUAAACCGCUUUCGCCUGUGACGAAGCGUGAGUGACGGUAAUGGGUAAAGAAGCACCGGCUAACUACGUG